AGAUCUCCUUCCCCUCUACGCAAAGACCUCGAUUUCCAAAAAGAAAAAGGUAAAUAUCCAUCCCUAUCUAGUCUUUUGAUGACAUUAGGCUAUACAAAGGGUGGAUAUAGUCUAGAGGGGUCGGAUAAGGGUUGUAGAGGUGGUUAAAAGAGGAAGAAUCGGAUUUUAACAAAUUUUUCCGGCACUACGGAAAAACUGUGUCGAAGUCCAACUUCGGCGAAUUAUUUAGGGGGUCAAACGGCCUCCGAUGAUGAUGCAUGUUAUCUCUUUGGAAUCCUCUAUGAGUGUAGAAUGUUAGGUAAAAAUUUCAUCAAAUUUGGAGUCCUGAAAGUAGAUCAAAACCGGGAUAAAGUAACCCACUGUCAGUUCGGGUUACUGUUCAUCCGGGUGGAAAAUAAGGGAUUUCAUGCCAUAAUAGGGUAUUAAGCCUAGAUUAGGCUAAGGGAGACUUUGUACUCGUGCAAGGGAGUCCCUAAUACACAUAAAUGAUGAGUUAAUUAAUAGAAAAAGAAAAA
Molecule: long non-coding RNA, 515 nt
Filed under: Phoenix dactylifera (date palm)
Lineage: Eukaryota; Viridiplantae; Streptophyta; Magnoliopsida; Arecales; Arecaceae
Description: long non-coding RNA (PDAC_LNC010428)
Source: RNAcentral